UUAAACUUCGUCCAACAUUUU
RNAcentral lists this non-coding RNA (21 nucleotides) under Caenorhabditis elegans. The record is from RNAcentral. Lineage: Eukaryota; Metazoa; Nematoda; Chromadorea; Rhabditida; Rhabditidae.